RNAcentral lists this ribosomal RNA (89 nucleotides) under Candidatus Altimarinota bacterium. Lineage: Bacteria; Candidatus Altimarinota. The record is from RNAcentral.
CCUGAUUCCAUUCCGAACUCAGUAGUUAAGUCUUUCAUCGCUGAUGGUACUUGGGGCCUUGCCCCUGGGAGAGUAAGUCGCCGCCAAGA